Molecule: unclassified non-coding RNA, 456 nt
Filed under: Aureobasidium pullulans
Lineage: Eukaryota; Fungi; Ascomycota; Dothideomycetes; Dothideales; Saccotheciaceae
Description: sequence contains ITS1, 5.8S rRNA gene, ITS2, 28S rRNA gene
Rfam family: 5.8S ribosomal RNA (bases 159-312)
Source: RNAcentral
CGACCUCCAACCCUGUGUUGUUAAAACUACCUUGUUGCUUUGGCGGGACCGCUCGGUCUCGAGCCGCUGGGGAUUCGUCCCAGGCGAGCGCCCGCCAGAGUUAAACCAAACUCUUGUUAUUUAACCGGUCGUCUGAGUUAAAAUUUUGAAUAAAUCAAAACUUUCAACAACGGAUCUCUUGGUUCUCGCAUCGAUGAAGAACGCAGCGAAAUGCGAUAAGUAAUGUGAAUUGCAGAAUUCAGUGAAUCAUCGAAUCUUUGAACGCACAUUGCGCCCCUUGGUAUUCCGAGGGGCAUGCCUGUUCGAGCGUCAUUACACCACUCAAGCUAUGCUUGGUAUUGGGCGUCGUCCUUAGUUGGGCGCGCCUUAAAGACCUCGGCGAGGCCACUCCGGCUUUAGGCGUAGUAGAAUUUAUUCGAACGUCUGUCAAAGGAGAGGAACUCUGCCGACUGAAAC